CAACUCCUUCCUCGUCCUUUUUCAGUGUUAUUGGCAGUAGUCAAACUAAACCUGAAUUUGACAGAGAAAUUACUGACAAUACUCUUUGUUCUUCCCAAAUCCCCAUCAUCUCUCUCAUAUCUCCCCAUCCUUUCUCUCUCUCUCAUUUUCUUCUCUCUCUUUUGUGUCCUUUCAUCCCCAUGCUCUAGCACCGCCAACAACCGAGCUUUGCCACCAUAUUCUCUCUACAGACUUUUCUUGGUGCUGGUUUCUGCAUGGUGAUCACUUCUAGCUAGAUAAAUUUAAGCCUCACAUUCCAUUGAUUGCAUUCGAGCUAGAGUAAGAGGCAGAUGGAGAUCGAUUUGGUGGAAGUGGAUCCAGUCACUGUUUCUCUAGAUAGAAAACUGGCCUCUUUGCCCGAUGAGCUAAUAAACCCAGUGAUUUUAAUGUUCGGUUCGACAAAGGAACUGAGUCACCAUAUGUACCAAAGUUUGUAUCCAUUGGUCCAAACUAUAGAGAUAAAGAAGAGCUCAAAUAUAUGGAAAACAUCAAACUGCACUACUUGAAAAAACUCCUCUCUGAUAAUAAUCAGUUCUCUGUUGAUAAGUAUGUGAGGGCUAUGAGACUUGAAAGUCUUCCUACAUGGUACGCAAAACCAGUCAGCUUAGAUGCACACAUAGAGAUGAUGGUGGUUGAUGGGCUCUUUAUAAUUGAGUUGUUUAGGCGCGAAGGUGAUGAUUUCCAGGGACAACGUAAUCUCGACAUACUUUCCCCUGGUAUAUAUUAUCACAUGCCAGUUGACC
Long non-coding RNA from Cornus florida, 782 nucleotides. RefSeq lists it as uncharacterized. The record is from RefSeq and is a predicted model, not a curated record. NCBI's taxonomy places the organism in Eukaryota, Viridiplantae, Streptophyta, Magnoliopsida, Cornales, Cornaceae. The transcript is spliced from 4 exons.